RNAcentral lists this ribosomal RNA (425 nucleotides) under uncultured bacterium. RNAcentral describes it as "bacterial SSU rRNA". It matches the Rfam family "Bacterial small subunit ribosomal RNA", at positions 355 to 777 of the family's 1533-position model. The record is from RNAcentral.
UGAGGAAUAUUGGUCAAUGGACGAGAGUCUGAACCAGCCAAGUAGCGUGCAGGACGACGGCCCUAUGGGUUGUAAACUGCUUUUAUAAGGGAAUAAAGUGAGCUACGUGUAGCUUUUUGCAUGUACCUUAUGAAUAAGGACCGGCUAAUUCCGUGCCAGCAGCCGCGGUAAUACGGAAGGUCCGGGCGUUAUCCGGAUUUAUUGGGUUUAAAGGGAGCGUAGGCCGGAGAUUAAGCGUGUUGUGAAAUGUAGUGGCUCAACCUCUGCACUGCAGCGCGAACUGGUCUUCUUGAGUACGCACAACGUGGGCGGAAUUCGUGGUGUAGCGGUGAAAUGCUUAGAUAUCACGAAGAACUCCGAUUGCGAAGGCAGCUCACGGGAGCGCAACUGACGCUGAAGCUCGAAAGUGCGGGUAUCGAACAGGA